GAUGAACGCUGGCGGCGUGCCUAAUACAUGCAAGUCGAGCGAACAGACGAGGAGCUUGCUCCUCUGAUGUUAGCGGCGGACGGGUGAGUAACACGUGGAUAACCUACCUAUAAGACUGGGAUAACUUCGGGAAACCGGAGCUAAUACCGGAUAACAUGUUGAACCGCAUGGUUCAACAGUGAAAGACGGUCUUGCUGUCACUUAUAGAUGGAUCCGCGCCGCAUUAGCUAGUUGGUAAGGUAACGGCUUACCAAGGCAACGAUGCGUAGCCGACCUGAGAGGGUGAUCGGACACACUGGAACUGAGACACGGUCCAGACUCCUACGGGAGGCAGCAGUAGGGAAUCUUCCGCAAUGGGCGAAAGCCUGACGGAGCAACGCCGCGUGAGUGAAGAAGGUCUUCGGAUCGUAAAACUCUGUUAGUAGGGAAGAACAAAUGUGUAAGUAACUAUGAACGUCUUGACGGUACCUAAUCAGAAAGCCACGGCUAACUACGUG
Molecule: ribosomal RNA, 497 nt
Filed under: uncultured bacterium
Lineage: Bacteria
Description: partial 16S ribosomal RNA
Rfam family: Bacterial small subunit ribosomal RNA
Source: RNAcentral